Molecule: non-coding RNA, 2231 nt
Organism: Macaca mulatta (Rhesus monkey)
Lineage: Eukaryota; Metazoa; Chordata; Mammalia; Primates; Cercopithecidae
Source: RefSeq, a predicted model, not a curated record
CUAGAACUGUGCCUGGCUAAUAGUAGCCAUGCAAUAAAGCACUAUUAUUACCAGCUGCUUUCUGGGUUUAUUAAGGAACUUGCACAAAAUGCUCACAGUUUCUUUAGCAACUUUGAACAAGUACUAGAUACUAACUGGCUUAUGAUUUAUUUUCCUCUUUAACUAGUUAAUAAUCAUUGAUUAGACAAACCAUUUUUCCACUUAUCAUAUUACAGGCUAAGCUCUUUAUAUAUUGUUUUAUUUAAUGCUCUUACGACUUCUGAGGGAAGCAUCAUUUCCUCAAUUUAACAGAGUGGAAAACUCAGAGAGGAGUAUUCCUUUGCUUACUCAAAGUAAGCGGGAGUGCUGAGAUUCGAAACCAGACCUGUUAAUUCUAAGCACGUUGCUCCCUCUACCCUUCCUCUCAGUGAUCAACAGCUUUGCCAGGAACAGGCUCUGCUCAGAUUCCAGCAUCUGCCACAGGGCUCAGAGAUUUUUGUUUACCUUAAGCCCGGGGCUUGGGUAGUAGAGUAGUGAUUUUCCAAUUUUGCUGCACAUUAGAAUCACCUGGAUAGAGGAAACUAAAAAAUCCUAAUACUCAGAUCAUACCCCACACAGAUGAAAUCUCUGGAGAUGAGAGCCAGAAAUGUGUAUUUUUAAAAGAUCCCCAGUUGAUUCCAAUGAACAGCAACUUUAGCAAUCUGCUGUCCUAGGAUCUUGGGGACCCCGACCUCUAGAAUCCCAAGUCAUUUUGGAUAGUUGUAGACCAGUGCAUAUAUCUUCAAAACUACUGGCUGCUGGGGAGAGAAAGAACUGUGCUGAAUCUAACAGGUAUCCCUCCAAUUGGAGUGCAGGCCCAUGAAUUCGUCGUUAAGUUCCCAAGCACUUACUCUCUGUUAAAGCUUUAACACUCUGCUGAAGGUGGCCCUGACUCUAUCAGGCAAAGCCCAGAGGUGUAAGCAACAGCUGUCUGCCAAACAAAGCUGCCCUGGAGUUUGCAUGGCAGACCAUGUCUUUACUACCAUGAGCACCAUAUAUAUGAAGAGGCGUGUGCUUUCACACAUUAUUCACAGCCAUCUGCCCUGCUCUCAUACACAAGUUCCAAAUUCUCCUUUCUUUUACCGACGGUCACCAUGUGGCCUUUGCUGAUGAUUUAUACAUCAUACCCUCCAUUAACCGAUGGGAAAGAUACUCAUGGUAAUUUCCUUCCAUCAAGUCUCAUUCCUUAUAGGCUCCCAAAUAAUUUCACAAAGUAUGGUCUUUUGGUUAAGUUGUUAAUGAAGCGAGCUCUAAUUAACAUUAGGGAUGUCCUUCAUACACACUCUAAGAGAAUGGCAAGAUCUUAAAAAGCUCCAUCAUCAUUAAAUUAGUACAUUAUUAUCGCAGCAGCCUAUGUGUGCUCUAACUUUUGAUUUAAAAAUUAUCAUGGUGGGUUGAUAUGUUGUGUUUAUCUUCCGCUAAUUGAACGCUACCUUGCAUUUAAUCACGGUAAAUUGGCCUUCCCUGUAAAUAGAUGUAAGGAAUUUUAGCGCUUGUUAAAUCUCAGUAGCUCUGGGAGUGAUGGGAAAGAAUGGGGAGGAGACUAUGGAGGAGGACUGGGACCUACCUGGCACCAUUAGCCUCCACUGUGCAGGGUUUGCUUCAGAGGGUUGAGUUGCAGCUCUCUUCAGGUGUCAGCGAUGCAGCUAAAUGGCCAGGUUUUUGGUUCUGGGUUGGGUACACCCAGGAAAUCUAGAAAAAGGUAGUAAUGGCCCCAACCACACACAGAUAAAUCCCUUUUUGAAAUAGAGCAAUAAAUAAAAGGGCUCAGGGAGAUGCCAAACUUCAGAGUCACUCUUGUCAGUGUCUCUGCAGGAGCUGCCAGCUUGGAGAGCCUGCUGUGAAUUUGGCGGUGACAGGAAAUGAACAGCGUUAAAGCUCCUCGAGGGCAGGAACCACACACUGUCCUUUGCAGUAGACUGAAGACACACAGCCUUUCAACACCUGUCUCAAUAAUUCAUGUGCAGAAAGUUCGAACUGAAGUGAGCUUUGAGGGAAGAAUAGGACUCAAGUGGAGACAGAGUGUUCCAGGAAAGGGGAGCAGCAUGAGCAGGAUCUUGAUGUAGAACCUGUGUGUCAUGUCUGGGGAGAGGACAUACACAGAAAGGACAGAGACCCAGAAUUGCAGGACUUCUCUGCGCCUCUUCCAGGAUGCGAGUGCGGCAUAUCGAGGAAAGGGAAGCCUGCUUAGAAACAGGACCAACAACAGAAGG